UACGUAGGGGGCAAGCGUUGUCCGGAAUCAUUGGGCGUAAAGAGCGUGUAGGCGGCUUGGUAAGUCCGCUGUGAAAGUCCAGGGCUCAACCCCUGGAAUGCCGGUGGAAACUGUCAAGCUUGAGUCCGGAAGAGGCGAGUGGAAUUCCUGGUGUAGCGGUGAAAUGCGCAGAUAUCAGGAGGAACACCAAUGGCGAAGGCAGCUCGCUGGGACGGUACUGACGCUGAGACGCGAAAGCGUGGGGAGCAAACAGG
This 254-nucleotide ribosomal RNA is filed under the name uncultured bacterium. Its description in RNAcentral is "partial 16S ribosomal RNA". It matches the Rfam family "Bacterial small subunit ribosomal RNA", at positions 524 to 776 of the family's 1533-position model. The record is from RNAcentral.